RNA transcript from Pezoporus flaviventris, 2774 nucleotides. It is a transcript of the gene named CASC3 exon junction complex subunit, with no coding region annotated. The transcript is spliced from 14 exons. The record is from RefSeq and is a predicted model, not a curated record. Lineage: Eukaryota; Metazoa; Chordata; Aves; Psittaciformes; Psittacidae.
AUGGCGGACCGGCGGCGGCAGCGCGCCUCGCAGGACAGCGAGGACUCGGACUCGGAUUCGGACUCGGCCGCCUCCGACAGCGGCGCCUCGGCCGCCAGCGCCGCCCGCUCCCCAUCGCGCUCCGGCUCCGGGUCUCGCUCCGGGUCUCCGCGGCCGCAGCACCGCCCGCCGCGGGGCGCCGCGGGAGCCCUCAGCGCUGGGCCGCGGGGCCGCGGCGGCGCCGAGAGCGCUGCGGGGGGAGCGGCCAAGAGCGCGCCCGAGUCCGAGUGUGAAAGCGAGGAUGGCAUCGAGGGAGAUGCUGUGCUCUCGGAUUAUGAAAGCGCCGAAGACUCGGAGGCGGAAGAAGAGGAUUACAGCGAGGAGGAAAGUGCCAAAGUGGAACUGAAGCAGGACAGUAACGAUUCCUCUGGAUCAGCGGCGAAAGCGGAGAAAGGGGACGAGAAACCAGACUCUAAGGGUGCUGUGACUGGUGAGAGGCAAAGCGGGGACGGGCAGGAGAGCACUGAACCCGUGGAGAAUAAAGUUGGGAAAAAGGUUCCCAAGCACCUGGAUGACGAUGAGGAUCGGAAGAACCCAGCUUAUAUCCCACGGAAAGGGCUCUUCUUCGAGCAUGACCUCCGAGGGCAGACACAGGAGGAGGAGGUCAGGCCAAAGGGUCGUCAGAGGAAGCUGUGGAAGGACGAGGGCCGCUGGGAGCAUGACAAGUUCCGGGAGGACGAGCAAGCCCCCAAGACCAGGCAGGAGCUGAUCGCGCUCUAUGGCUACGACAUCAGAUCAGCACACAACCCUGACGACAUCAAGCCAAGGAGGAUGCGCAAACCGAGGUUUGGGAGUCCUCCUCAGCGAGAUCCAAACUGGUCCAACGAGAGGCCCAAUAAGCCCCCGAGGCACCAAGGUGCAGACAGCACUUCAGCUCCCCCACGAACCUUCACCAACAGGAGCUCUGCAGGGACAGGGAGGAUGCCCCCACCUAGGAAUUACCCAAGGCUGGGGGGCUACAAAGAGACCCGUCCAGGCUACCGAGCUUCAGAAGCCAGCAUCCAGCAUCUGUCUCGGAACGGUGAGCAAGUGAAACAGGAGGGCAGCUACCGAGGGAAGCGUGCAGAGCAGACCCCACCGAGGGACAAGUCACCCGAGGUGGAAGCAGCACACGUCCACAGCAGCCCUGUAAGGGAGGAGGUUGCUUUGGAAAACCAAGCCACAGCUGCAGAUGCUGCCCAGCCACCACCAGACAGACCAAUUGAAAAGAAGUCUUAUUCCCGGGCAAGAAGGACCAGAAUCAAAGCUGGGGAUGCAGGGAAGCUGGCGGAUGAAGUGCCCGCUUCGGAAGGGCUGGCUCCUGUGCCUCCAAAACCCGUGCAAGCUGAGACAUCCCUCCCACCAGCCAAGAGCAGCAAUUGGGAGUCGCCAGUAGAAUCCAGCUUGGAUGGACUCGAGCAAGAAAUGACCCAAAUGAAUCUCGCUGAGCAGAACUGGGCUCCAGGGCAGUCUCAGUUCAUACAGCCCCGGGAGCUGAGGGGUAUUCCUAACCACCAUCUGCACGUGGGAACUGGGCCACCGCCUCAGUUUAACAGGAUGGAGGAAAUGGCCGUGCAGGGGGGCCGUGUCAAACGCUACUCGUCGCAGCGGCAGAGAGCACCUGUGCCAGAGCCUGCCCCCCCCAUGCACAUCAGCAUCAUGGAAGGGCACUACUAUGACCCACUACAAUUCCAGGGACCAAUCUACACCCACAGUGAGAGCCCAGCCCCGCUGCCGCCCCAGGGCAUGAUCGUACAGCCAGAAAUGCACCUCCCUCAUCCAGGUUUACAUCCCCACCAGACGCCAGCCCCCAUGGCAAACCCUGGCCUGUACCCUCCGCCCGUCUCCAUGCCCCCGGGGCAGCCCCCUCCGCAGCAGCUGCUGGCCCCGACUUACUUCUCCCCUCCUGGAGUCAUGAAUUUUGGGAAUCCUGGCUAUCCCUACCCGCCGGGAGCGCUGCCCCCCCCGCCCCCUCCACAUCUCUAUUCCAACACGCAGGCCCAGUCCCAGGUGUAUGGAGGGGUCACCUACUACAACACUGUCCAGCAGCAAGUGCAGCCCAAGCCUUCUCCUCCUCGAAGGACAUCCCAGCCCGUGACUAUCAAGCCACCACCUCCUGAGGUUCUCGUUGCAGGUGGUAAGCAGGGUUCCAGUUAAGUUGGGUUUCUAAAUACUUUAAAACUAAACCCGCAUAAAAAGUAAGUCCAAAGUUGACUCUUGCUUGUUUUGCUUUGUUUUAUUUGCUCAGGGUAGAGAGCAGAGCGCUUUAGAGAGAGAAAAACCCAGUCCUAAGCUAGAAGGCAGUGACUUCUCCUGAAGAGACAGCAAAGGUGAAAAAUCCAAGGAGAGGAGCAACACGUAGAGGUGCAGCCGUGGGAAUCCCGACGCCAGCCUCAGCCCCUCGGCGCGGAGGAAGCUCCUGGGGAAAGGCUUCUUCCCUGGGCGUAGGUGAGGCAGCGGGAGGAAAUCAGCUGCACCGUCUCGUGCUCAGGGCCAGGCACCUUCCCCCUCUGGUUUUACCGGUGCCCUCCCAAAAAUCAUCUCACUGCUGCUGAUCUGCCCUCCUUCCCCUCCCUCCCUGCGGAAUCAACCCCCAGGGCCUUGGCCACAAGUUCUCUCAGCUUCUCUCUCCCUUACUAAAUGUCUGCCCUGUCCCCUCCCCUAGGAUGUUAAACUCCGUUGGCUUGAUUGUGCUCUCUGUUUUUAUUUAAGAAAUGAACCAGCUCCUUCAGUAAAGCUGAUUUGUUUCUUUUUGG